Molecule: ribosomal RNA, 253 nt
Filed under: uncultured bacterium
Lineage: Bacteria
Description: partial 16S ribosomal RNA
Rfam family: Bacterial small subunit ribosomal RNA
Source: RNAcentral
UACGUAGGGGGCAAGCGUUGUCCGGAUUUAUUGGGCGUAAAGAGCGUGUAGGCGGCCAGAAAAGUCCGCUGUGAAAACUCGAGGCUCAACUUCGAGCUGUCGGUGGAAACUUUCUGGCUAGAGUCCGGAAGAGGAGAAUGGAAUUCCUGGUGUAGCGGUGAAAUGCGCAGAUACCAGGAAGAACACCCGUGGCGAAGGCGGUUCUCUGGGACGGUACUGACGCUGAGACGCGAAAGCGUGGGGAGCGAACAGG